Molecule: long non-coding RNA, 1062 nt
Filed under: Mytilus galloprovincialis (Mediterranean mussel)
Lineage: Eukaryota; Metazoa; Mollusca; Bivalvia; Mytilida; Mytilidae
Source: RNAcentral
GUUUGAUGUGUAGAGACUUUGAUACUCUUUGUCCCCAGAAAUUGGUGUGUUUGAACUUUACUACUCAGUUCAAAAUUUACCAAUAUUUAGGAAGAGCAUGUUUGAAUUGAAGUAUUUUGUUUCUGUCUAUUUUAAGCUGUCCAAUGCUAUCAUAUAGCUGUCAGUAAGAAUACGGACUGAGUUUGAGUCAAGGUAAAGGAUUUAGAUUGAACUUGAAUAAGGUGCAUAUGAUUUUCUAAUGCAGAGAGUAGAGGGGUGGGUCUAGAGGGUACAUAGUAACUUUUCUUGAAAUAAUCAAAUAUGUAAUGGAAAGCUGACUCAUACAUUUAGAUUUCUUUAAAAUGAUAAUGUUCUCAAUUAAAUCAUUGCUACUUUUUUUCAAUGAAAAAUUAUUAAAUAUUUCCACUGUCUUUAUAUUUCCAUUCUUGAGAAAUAGUUUUCUCUUUUUUAUUUUCUUUUUUAUUUUUUGUGUGUGAACUCACUUCCAUAUUGACAUGUAAAAUAACUAUAAAUCAUAAUUAGUGAUGAAAGGGGUGAAAAUUCUCAGGCAAUUCUCAUUCUUCAGAGAUAAAAGUUUCAAAACCACAUGAUAACCUUGAUUAUAUUAUCUUGGUAUCUUCUACAAUAUAUUUCUGCUUUUAUUACAAGUUUCAUGAAAAAUUGAUGACUAGAAAAAUGUUAAGGAAGAAAUAUAAGCAUGACAUCAUAAGUCUGUUAAUCGUCUGGAUAGAAACGAGAAACGAUAAAUGAUCAGAGAACAUAAAACAAUAAGAUCUCUACUGUUGUCAUUACUUCUGUGCUGUAUGUGGUAUCAUAUAAUGGAACUGGUUAAAAAUACAUGAACAUUAAGACUUAACUCAUGCUUGGAACUUUACUGAUGGCAAACACUGGACUAACAUGACAACAGAUCAAUAAUAUAUAGAUAGGUUUUGUAACACAAUAUUUGGUUAUUAUGAUGGAGGGGUUGGUUAUCAUUUUACCAAUGGUCAAUUGAUUGAAGUUCCUCACCAAAAUUUUAAAAUAUCCAUCAAAAUGUUUAAUUUUCCAAAAUUUUGAUUUUUG